ACCAAUCGACCCGUGUGUUGAUAACAAAGCAAGAGACCAGCAGGAUCACAAACAAACCUUGGCGAUUUCGACUUUGGCGUUAAAGCAAAGUUAAACAGAUAAACGGCAGCUUUCAAUCUAAUUGUCAAGGUGGUAUCGUAAAAAUCUUAAUAAAACAGGAGAAAAGGCAAAAGCUAUUUCAUAUCUACGCAACGUCAGUUGUUUGUUUGAUCUCUAAAGCGUUUUGAGAAGGAUCUUGUUUUUACAUUCGACCAGACGCCACCUCAGCAAUUUAUCAGACUACUUCCAUUCUGAAAGGGACCUAUAGUCAAACAAGACUCAUUAAACGGCAUCUGCACGAUUUGGCGAUCGACUUUCGUUGCCUGUCACGUUCCACGUCACGUCAAGCGCAAUACUGGCAUCAGUCUUUCCAGCAGCGACUUCGGAGAAAUAGUUUCGCUCAACAAGAAUCUUCAAUUCGUAUAAAAAUCGCGGAUGUUUAUGAUGUCAAACUUGUCGAGAAAGAGUUCCUAGGCAAUCAAACGGAAACUAUACCACGCCAACUGAAUCCGCGACUGAGCCCACAGGAAUUAAUCCAAAAGUCACGUGACCAUAAUU
Daphnia pulex (common water flea) is the source of this 597-nucleotide long non-coding RNA. RefSeq lists it as uncharacterized. Lineage: Eukaryota; Metazoa; Arthropoda; Branchiopoda; Diplostraca; Daphniidae. The record is from RefSeq and is a predicted model, not a curated record. The transcript has 2 exons.